UACGGGGGGGGCAGGCGUUGUUCGGAAUUACUGGGCGUAAAGGGCUCGUAGGCGGCCAACUAAGUCGGACGUGAAAUCCCUCGGCUUAACCGGGGAACUGCGUCUGAUACUGGUUGGCUUGAAUCCGGGAGAGGGAUGUGGAAUUCCAGGUGUAGCGGUGAAAUGCGUAGAUAUCGGGAGGAACACCAGUGGCGAAGGCGACUACUUGGCCUGUUCUUGACGCUGAGGCGCGAAAGCUAGGGGAGCAAACGGG
RNAcentral lists this ribosomal RNA (253 nucleotides) under uncultured bacterium. RNAcentral describes it as "partial 16S ribosomal RNA". It matches the Rfam family "Bacterial small subunit ribosomal RNA", at positions 524 to 776 of the family's 1533-position model. The record is from RNAcentral.